UAGGGUUCAACUUUUUUCAGCACAGAAGGAAAGGAGGAGACGACGGCGACGCAGGGGCUCGACUGGGUUCUUCUUGGCGACGACGACGCAGGGGCUCGGCUGAGUUAUUCUUGGCGACGUCUGCAAGUGGUGCCAACCAGGACCUUCAAUCUCACCUCUCUUCCAAACGAUACGUUAUUGCUCUCAAUAAGAAGGACCUUGCCAAUCCCAAUAUCAUAAAUGGGUUCGUCAUUUGGAAUCGUUCCAACAAGAUUGUAUUCCUAUAAAUGCACACAGUAAGACUUCUGUUAGGGAAGUAAACUUGGUAAAUACAACAAAGAGGAGGUUCUGGAAAAAGCAGAAAAUGAUUUAGUAGCUGUGACAAAACAAUAUAUUUCUCGACUGAUAAAAGAAAUGCAACGGGCUGACUUUUGGAAGCUAAGACGAGCAUCUUACCUAGGUAUUGGGUAUUCAUUUGCGACAUGCUAAUUUGACUGGAGAGUUGAUGCGGCUGGCGAUUGGUCGAAUAUCAGAUGGUGAAACUGACUAUGUACAGAAGAUAUGCAAGUUUGUUCGUGAUAUCUAUAGGGAGCUGACCCUUGUAGCUCCAAGCAUGGAUGAUAGUCAUGAUAUGAAAACAAAGAUGGAUAAAAUGCUUCAAAGUGUAAUGAAGAUUGAGAAUGGUAUGUGUGUACAUUUUCUUUUCUUCUUGUUUUCAAUGUUGCUAUUGCUGCUAUUAAUUAGAUUAGAAUCAUACUUUUUUAAAACACAAAUGUAAUAGAAAUAGU
Molecule: long non-coding RNA, 767 nt
Organism: Humulus lupulus (European hop)
Lineage: Eukaryota; Viridiplantae; Streptophyta; Magnoliopsida; Rosales; Cannabaceae
Exons: 4
Source: RefSeq, a predicted model, not a curated record